UGGGGAAUAUUGCACAAUGGGCGAAAGCCUGAUGCAGCAACGCCGCGUGAGGGACGACGGCCUUCGGGUUGUAAACCUCUUUUAGCAAGGAAGAAGCGAAAGUGACGGUACUUGCAGAAAAAGCGCCGGCUAACUACGUGCCAGCAGCCGCGGUAAUACGUAGGGCGCAAGCGUUAUCCGGAAUUAUUGGGCGUAAAGAGCUCGUAGGCGGUUUGUCGCGUCUGCUGUGAAAACCCGAGGCUCAACCUCGGGCCUGCAGUGGGUACGGGCAGACUAGAGUGCGGUAGGGGAGAUUGGAACUCCUGGUAUAGCGGUGGAAUGCGCAGAUAUCAGGAAGAACACCGGUGGCGAAGGCAGAUCUCUGGGCCGUAACUGACGCUGAGGAGCGAAAAGGGUGGGGAGCAAACAGGCUUAGAUACCCUGGUAGUCCACCCCGUAAACGUUGGGAACUAGUUGUGGGGUCCAUUCCACGGAUUCCGUGACGCAGCUAACGCAUUAAGUUCCCCGCCUGGGGAGUACGGCCGCAAGGCU
This 531-nucleotide ribosomal RNA is filed under the name uncultured bacterium. Its description in RNAcentral is "partial 16S ribosomal RNA". It matches the Rfam family "Bacterial small subunit ribosomal RNA", at positions 355 to 895 of the family's 1533-position model. The record is from RNAcentral.